CCGACGGUGAGGGGUGAAGGCUGGGGGCGCAAACCGGAUUAGAUACCCGGGUAGUCCCAGCAGUAAACGAUGCCAGCUAUGUGUUGCUGGAACCAUGGGUUCCAGCAGUGCCGAAGGGAAGCCGUGAAGCUGGCCACCUGGGAAGUACGGUCGCAAGGCUGAAACUUAAAGGAAUUGGCGGGGGAGUACCACAACCGGUGGAGCCUGCGGUUUAAUUGGAUACAACGCCGGGAAUCUUACCGGAGGGGACAGCAGUAUGAAGGCCAGGCUAAAGACCUUGCCAGAUCAGCUGAGAGGAGGUGCAUGGCCGUCGCCAGUUCGUACCGUGAGGCAUCCUGUUUAGUCAGGCAACGAUCGAGACCCGCAGUCUUAUUUGCCAGCAUGCCCUUUGGGGUGUAUGGGUACAAUAAGACGACCGCCAGCGCUAAGCUGGAGGAAGGAGCGGGCUACGGUAGGUCAGCAUGCCCCGAAUCCUCCGGGAUACACGCGGGCUACAAUGGUCAGGACAAAAGGUACCGACCUCGAAAGAGUGAGGUAAUCCACAAACCUGAUCUCAGUCCGGAUCGAAGGCUGCAACUCGCCUUCGUGAAGAUGGAAUCGGUAGUAAUCGUGACUCAAAAUGUCACGGUGAAUAUGUCCCUGCUCCUUGCACACACCGCCCGU
This 663-nucleotide ribosomal RNA is filed under the name uncultured archaeon. RNAcentral's name for it is "bacterial SSU rRNA". It matches the Rfam family "Archaeal small subunit ribosomal RNA", at positions 691 to 1353 of the family's 1478-position model. The record is from RNAcentral.